GGUUAAGCGACUAAGCGUACACGGUGGAUGCCCUGGCAGUCAGAGGCGAUGAAGGACGUGCUAAUCUGCGAUAAGCGUCGGUAAGGUGAUAUGAACCGUUAUAACCGGCGAUUUCCGAAUGGGGAAACCCAGUGUGUUUCGACACACUAUCAUUAACUGAAUCCAUAGGUUAAUGAGGCGAACCGGGGGAACUGAAACAUCUAAGUACCCCGAGGAAAAGAAAUCAACCGAGAUUCCCCCAGUAGCGGCGAGCGAACGGGGAGCAGCCCAGAGCCUGAAUCAGUGUGUGUGUUAGUGGAAGCGUCUGGAAAGGCGCGCGAUACAGGGUGACAGCCCCGUACACAAAAAUGCACAUGCUGUGAGCUCGAUGAGUAGGGCGGGACACGUGGUAUCCUGUCUGAAUAUGGGGGGACCAUCCUCCAAGGCUAAAUACUCCUGACUGACCGAUAGUGAACCAGUACCGUGAGGGAAAGGCGAAAAGAACCCCGGCGAGGGGAGUGAAAAAGAACCUGAAACCGUGUACGUACAAGCAGUGGGAGCACGCUUAGGCGUGUGACUGCGUACCUUUUGUAUAAUGGGUCAGCGACUUAUAUUCUGUAGCAAGGUUAACCGAAUAGGGGAGCCGAAGGGAAACCGAGUCUUAACUGGGCGUUAAGUUGCAGGGUAUAGACCCGAAACCCGGUGAUCUAGCCAUGGGCAGGUUGAAGGUUGGGUAACACUAACUGGAGGACCGAACCGACUAAUGUUGAAAAAUUAGCGGAUGACUUGUGGCUGGGGGUGAAAGGCCAAUCAAACCGGGAGAUAGCUGGUUCUCCCCGAAAGCUAUUUAGGUAGCGCCUCGUGAACUCAUCUCCGGGGGUAGAGCACUGUUUCGGCAAGGGGGUCAUCCCGACUUACCAACCCGAUGCAAACUGCGAAUACCGGAGAAUGUUAUCACGGGAGACACACGGCGGGUGCUAACGUCCGUCGUGAAGAGGGAAACAACCCAGACCGCCAGCUAAGGUCCCAAAGUCAUGGUUAAGUGGGAAACGAUGUGGGAAGGCCCAGACAGCCAGGAUGUUGGCUUAGAAGCAGCCAUCAUUUAAAGAAAGCGUAAUAGCUCACUGGUCGAGUCGGCCUGCGCGGAAGAUGUAACGGGGCUAAACCAUGCACCGAAGCUGCGGCAGCGACACUGUGUGUUGUUGGGUAGGGGAGCGUUCUGUAAGCCUGUGAAGGUGUACUGUGAGGUAUGCUGGAGGUAUCAGAAGUGCGAAUGCUGACAUAAGUAACGAUAAAGCGGGUGAAAAGCCCGCUCGCCGGAAGACCAAGGGUUCCUGUCCAACGUUAAUCGGGGCAGGGUGAGUCGACCCCUAAGGCGAGGCCGAAAGGCGUAGUCGAUGGGAAACAGGUUAAUAUUCCUGUACUUGGUGUUACUGCGAAGGGGGGACGGAGAAGGCUAUGUUGGCCGGGCGACGGUUGUCCCGGUUUAAGCGUGUAGGCUGGUUUUCCAGGCAAAUCCGGAAAAUCAAGGCUGAGGCGUGAUGACGAGGCACUACGGUGCUGAAGCAACAAAUGCCCUGCUUCCAGGAAAAGCCUCUAAGCAUCAGGUAACAUCAAAUCGUACCCCAAACCGACACAGGUGGUCAGGUAGAGAAUACCAAGGCGCUUGAGAGAACUCGGGUGAAGGAACUAGGCAAAAUGGUGCCGUAACUUCGGGAGAAGGCACGCUGAUAUGUAGGUGAAGUCCCUCGCGGAUGGAGCUGAAAUCAGUCGAAGAUACCAGCUGGCUGCAACUGUUUAUUAAAAACACAGCACUGUGCAAACACGAAAGUGGACGUAUACGGUGUGACGCCUGCCCGGUGCCGGAAGGUUAAUUGAUGGGGUUAGCGCAAGCGAAGCUCUUGAUCGAAGCCCCGGUAAACGGCGGCCGUAACUAUAACGGUCCUAAGGUAGCGAAAUUCCUUGUCGGGUAAGUUCCGACCUGCACGAAUGGCGUAAUGAUGGCCAGGCUGUCUCCACCCGAGACUCAGUGAAAUUGAACUCGCUGUGAAGAUGCAGUGUACCCGCGGCAAGACGGAAAGACCCCGUGAACCUUUACUAUAGCUUGACACUGAACAUUGAGCCUUGAUGUGUAGGAUAGGUGGGAGGCUUUGAAGUGUGGACGCCAGUCUGCAUGGAGCCGACCUUGAAAUACCACCCUUUAAUGUUUGAUGUUCUAACGUUGACCCGUAAUCCGGGUUGCGGACAGUGUCUGGUGGGUAGUUUGACUGGGGCGGUCUCCUCCUAAAGAGUAACGGAGGAGCACGAAGGUUGGCUAAUCCUGGUCGGACAUCAGGAGGUUAGUGCAAUGGCAUAAGCCAGCUUGACUGCGAGCGUGACGGCGCGAGCAGGUGCGAAAGCAGGUCAUAGUGAUCCGGUGGUUCUGAAUGGAAGGGCCAUCGCUCAACGGAUAAAAGGUACUCCGGGGAUAACAGGCUGAUACCGCCCAAGAGUUCAUAUCGACGGCGGUGUUUGGCACCUCGAUGUCGGCUCAUCACAUCCUGGGGCUGAAGUAGGUCCCAAGGGUAUGGCUGUUCGCCAUUUAAAGUGGUACGCGAGCUGGGUUUAGAACGUCGUGAGACAGUUCGGUCCCUAUCUGCCGUGGGCGCUGGAGAACUGAGGGGGGCUGCUCCUAGUACGAGAGGACCGGAGUGGACGCAUCACUGGUGUUCGGGUUGUCAUGCCAAUGGCACUGCCCGGUAGCUAAAUGCGGAAGAGAUAAGUGCUGAAAGCAUCUAAGCACGAAACUUGCCCCGAGAUGAGUUCUCCCUGACUCCUUGAGAGUCCUGAAGGAACGUUGAAGACGACGACGUUGAUAGGCCGGGUGUGUAAGCGCAGCGAUGCGUUGAGCUAACCGGUACUAAUGAACCGUGAGGCUUAACCUU
RNAcentral lists this ribosomal RNA (2903 nucleotides) under Escherichia coli. RNAcentral's name for it is "23S ribosomal RNA". It matches the Rfam family "Bacterial large subunit ribosomal RNA". The record is from RNAcentral. Lineage: Bacteria; Pseudomonadati; Pseudomonadota; Gammaproteobacteria; Enterobacterales; Enterobacteriaceae.